GCUUAUCCUUCGGGAGGGCGCUUACCACUUUGUGAUUCAUGACUGGGGUGAAGUCGUAACAAGGUAACCGUAGGGGAACCUGCGGUUGGAUCACCUCCUUA
RNAcentral lists this ribosomal RNA (101 nucleotides) under Enterobacter hormaechei. RNAcentral's name for it is "partial 16S ribosomal RNA". It matches the Rfam family "Bacterial small subunit ribosomal RNA", at positions 1433 to 1533 of the family's 1533-position model. The record is from RNAcentral. Lineage: Bacteria; Pseudomonadati; Pseudomonadota; Gammaproteobacteria; Enterobacterales; Enterobacteriaceae.